AUUGCUUCUUGGCCUUUUGGCUAAGAUCAAGUGUAGUAUCUGAGAGGAUAGAGGACUUGAGGCUUUUUUCAAAAUCAUUUUCAAGGUUAUGUUCUCUUUUCAAUUAUCAAAUUGUUUCGAUUUUUUUGCCUGGAAAAAGUGAGCACAGUUAUC
This 153-nucleotide small nuclear RNA is filed under the name Panthera leo (lion). RNAcentral's name for it is "U2 spliceosomal RNA (ENSPLOG00000021434.1)". It matches the Rfam family "U2 spliceosomal RNA". Rfam says of the family: U2 is a small nuclear RNA (snRNA) component of the spliceosome (involved in pre-mRNA splicing). Complementary binding between U2 snRNA (in an area lying towards the 5' end but 3' to hairpin I) and the branchpoint sequence (BPS) of the intron results the bulging out of an unpaired adenosine, on the BPS, which initiates a nucleophilic attack at the intronic 5' splice site, thus starting the first of two transesterification reactions that mediate splicing. The record is from Rfam by way of RNAcentral. Lineage: Eukaryota; Metazoa; Chordata; Mammalia; Carnivora; Felidae.